UACGGAGGAUGCGAGCGUUAUCCGGAUUUAUUGGGUUUAAAGGGUGCGUAGGCGGGAUGCCAAGGCAGCGGUAAAAAUGCGGUGCUCAACGCCGUCGAGCCGUUGAAACUGGCGUUCUUGAGUGGGCGAGAAGUAUGCGGAAUGCGUGGUGUAGCGGUGAAAUGCAUAGAUAUCACGCAGAACUCCGAUUGCGAAGGCAGCAUACCGGCGCCCUACUGACGCUGAGGCACGAAAGCGUGGGUAUCGAACAGG
This 252-nucleotide ribosomal RNA is filed under the name uncultured bacterium. Its description in RNAcentral is "partial 16S ribosomal RNA". It matches the Rfam family "Bacterial small subunit ribosomal RNA", at positions 524 to 776 of the family's 1533-position model. The record is from RNAcentral.